GCACGCAGAAGUUCUUUGGCCAGGGAUUGAACCCGUGCCAUAGUAGUGAAAACACCAGAUCCUUAUUCAUUGCUAGGCCACCAGGAAACUCCCAGGUACAGUUCUUUUCUGCUGUAAAUCCAACUUGCCUUGUGACCUUGGGUGCAUGCCCCUACCUCCAGGUUUCAUUUUAUCAUAAGCAGAAUAAAAAGCCAAACAUUUGCCAAACAUUGGCUAGGUGCUCUUAGAAUGUUCUAGAUGUUUUCUGUAACUUUAUCCUCAUGUUAGUCCUCUAAGGUGCUAUUAGGAGAGUGGAAGUAGGGCACAGAGAGAUUUUAGUGACUUGCGUGGGUGGCAAGGCUGGCAUCUGAAGCCAGACAGCUAACCCCAGAAUAUACGCACAUACACAUUCUUAAUCCCUGUGCUAUACUGCCUUACUAAAGUGGGGGUGGGGUGGGGGAAGAAGGGACAAGAAGCCCAAAUCCCCACUGUCAUUUCACAAGGAGGUCAUGACAGUUGAGAGACAUCUGCCAAGAGCUAAAUGACCCAUUUUCUUUGGUCACUGAGUUUCCUCCAGAUUAGAAAUAGAGCCGGCUAGAAAUCAGAUCUGACAACUGUGGCCAGAGGCUCUGGCUUCUGUUGUUGGAGACACAGAUGACCUUAUCCAGUGCAUGGAUGCAGGUGACUAAGUCCUCAGCAGGGCAAUGAAGGGCUCCUCCCACUUGAGCCUUUCUCUGGGUGGAUCACCAAUGAUGCUAUCAGAACGGCCAAUAGCACAGGCGCACCCUUGGUGGCCGUAAAUUCCACAUUGCUUGAGGCUAGAGUCUGUGAUUCCUGGGCCCAUGCUCAGAGAACCAGUGGUUGAUAGAAAUUUAGUUCUGUGAUUUUUCAGAGAGGAGGCAGCAGGUGUCCAGGACACAGGUGGACCCAAGCCAGGUGUACCAAAGGCUCUUGGUACCCACCCAUAUCCUCCCCCAUGGGUGCAUCAGGGCCCACGGGCCUGGCUUACAACGGCCAGCACCUACAUCCUGAGUGCUUUCUCUCCCCCAGACCCCGCUUCACCCAUCUGUAUAACAGGCCCAUAUGGGGGCAGGGAGUGCAUUCGCCCUGGGAGUGGUGCUUAACUAAUGUGGAGCUCGAGGAGCACUUCCUCGCCCCUCAGUGGGGACAAUUCUGAGAUGUGUGCUCUGAACUCUCUUCCCAAAGUUGCCAGGAGUAGCUCCUGUUGUCCCGAGUGAUAACUUGCUUGAUAACACACUCUUUCUUCACUUCCUCCCUUCUCUUCCCUGCCUCACCUCCUUACACCUCUUCCUGGGUUCCCUGCACGUCCCGAAUAAACGACUUGCAGUCAAUUUAUUGUCACGUGGCCUGCUUCUAGGGAACUCAAACUAAGACAUCGGAAAGGACUCCUGGUGGCAAAUGAUAUCCUGAGAAAGCUUCCUCACUCGGGCAACCUCUACAUUCUGGGAGGGAAGUCUGUUCUAAUGUUCUCCAAAAAUGGGUAGGUCAUAGAAGGAAGCCAAGCUCAGAGAAGCCUAGGAAGAGGCUUUUACGAUCUCACUGAAGGCAGGCCUGAGAUACUCUCAAUUUCCACUCCAAGUGGCUUCCUUGGCCCUGGAGUUACUCCUGGAUCAAGUCUCUGCCUUUGAAAGUGGAACCUGUCUCUUCUGUAUGAGGGUUCCUCUUCUUGAUGCUCCUGUCUUUUGCCAUGUCCAAAUGGAAAUUACUUUUCUGCUCCAGUUAGCAACAGUUUCUGCUUUCCAGGUGAAUAGACAUAAUUCUCUGCAGGGGUAAAGGAAGCAUCCAAGUCGAUUCCCACAGUUGGGCUGGCAGCUCUCACAUCUACCAGGCCACCCUCUCUUGGCUGGCCAGCCCCAUGCCCUUUGGUUUAGUGAAGCCCUAAAUCUGUCAACAGUGGGAGUCCCACCACCGUUCUCACCUCUGUGAGGCCCAGGGCUUCAGGAAGAAAUACAGAAAAGGUCAAAAAAUAAGGCAUUUCUGUAGGGCAAUGCUUUCUAGCCUCCUUUACAUCAUGGCACUCAAAGACAAUUUAUACUACUUGUGUGACACACUGGGGCAAAUGAACGAAGAUCCUCUUGGCCAGGGGCAGUUGACAGAAGAUUUUCUGUGUCCCAAACUCUAGGCAGCCUUCCCGGGGGCUGUGAGGUUCAGUAAUAUCCCAGCAUAUCUGUAACCUAUUUGUGACAUGUCAGUUGUAUUAACAAUACAUGAACAACUAUUUUGAGUUUAUGCCAUAGAAAGUCACAACGUGUGCGUGAACAUGUCUGAUCCUCUCAAACUCUGAAAUCUUCGUCAGAUGUGAGAUCCUUGAAGCACCAAAGUUAGGCUGUGGACUGCAGCGGGGGUGGGGGAGCUCUUUAUCAUUUUAAGGGCUUCCAAAGCUGCAUUAUUCGUUAGCUAUUUGUUUAGCACCCGCCACGUACUCUGUGCCAGCACUAAGACUUGGGGCCCAGGUGGAUUUCACACCCAGGAAGCUCCCUGGUUCCUAGUGCAAAUCCAGUUUGGGGCUCUCCCUCCCCCCUUCACCAGCCACGGGUGGCUGCAUUUGAUGCCUAGUAUAAGUCACACGAGGUCCCUGGUUUCACCUAUCUGUCUACUACCCGGAAUUGGCUAUUACUCACAUUUCUGUAUGUUGUCUUUGUCUUUUUUUAAAAAUAAAAUAAAUAAAACAUCAUUGCCAGAUAAGGUUCCAUUCUCUUUCCCACCUCUCAAUGAAAGUCAUGCAUUUAUUGCAUAUGGUUCCAAAGUAUUUUUGCACCUCUGAUGUAUGCUCUCAGUCCUCCAGCCAGAUCUUCCAGGGUCUUUUUUCACAAGUUCUACUGCCCCUUCCCAGUGUCUGUGGGCUUUUGCUUCUAAAGGCCCACAACCGAGACUUUUCGGAGGUUCCGCAUGAGUUUCUGGAGCCAUCCUGCCUGCAGUCACAGAGUCAGAAGUGCCUGGGCAUUUCUAGCCUUCAAGGGGGCCCUGAGCCAAUGACUGAUGGGUGUGAGGAAACAAAAGCCCAGAACUCCCCUUCCUGGCCAGCUGAGGCUGCAGGGACUUGACCUAAAAAUACCGUUGCUUGGCUUCUGUCCCUCCUUUGUCCUGCUUCCCGCUUCCCUCACUGGCUUCCGAUGUGGGGGGAGGUACUUAUACAAGUCACUACCACACUGAGAGUACAAUGACUUAACCCUGCUUCACGUGUGUGAGCCUCCCUUUCUGCAGAAGAGAGACAUUCUAAGGUAUAUACAUGAUGCAGUUCGGGGCUCCUGGAACAAGGACAGUUGCCAUCUUACCAGGUGUUAUUCUUCAAAGCGCACGUGCUCAUUCACUCUGCCAGCAGUGACUGACAGCCCCUGUUUCCCUACAUUCUUUUCUUUUUUUUUUCUUUUUGGCCACGUCCACGGCAUGCAGAAGUUCCCAAGCCAGGGAUUGAUCCUGAGCCAUAGCAGCGACACGAGCCCCAGCAGUGACAAUGCUGGAUCCUUAACCUGCUGAGCCACA
RNAcentral lists this long non-coding RNA (3483 nucleotides) under Sus scrofa (pig). Its description in RNAcentral is "lncRNA (ENSSSCG00000048575.1)". The record is from RNAcentral. Lineage: Eukaryota; Metazoa; Chordata; Mammalia; Artiodactyla; Suidae.